CGUAAGUCGCAGUAUUCCG
This 19-nucleotide microRNA is filed under the name Schistosoma mansoni. Its description in RNAcentral is "sma-miR-8441-5p". Lineage: Eukaryota; Metazoa; Platyhelminthes; Trematoda; Strigeidida; Schistosomatidae. The record is from miRBase by way of RNAcentral.